UCAAACUAAUCAUAAAACUUGAGCACCUUAUCCUCAGAAAUCAAGAGAGUUUCUACUUUCAUCGAUGAGUUUCGUUUGUUUACUAGCUUUCAUGGGGUGUAUUUACCCUUCAAAUGUUCGCCAUAAUAAUGCUCGCAUAGAGGCAUUCCAUUGGCUCCUAUCAUCAUCUCCCGCUUCGCAAAAUGUGGUUCGACCUACUGACAGAUGAACGAGGCAGCACCGACAGGCAGAAAUCUUUCUCAUCAUACGUGUUGAAGCAGCCUCCCAUGUGGCUCUGAGAGAGGGCCUCACCGCCGAGGCGCACCGAAUGGGAAGAAGAAGAAGAAAAAAAAUCACCCUGGUGUUUGGGUCUGAUUUCUCAGCUCAUUAAUCCUCCCUCUGGUCAUACAGUGUGUCUCGCAGACUGGCAUCAUUUAGCUAUCUUGGAGCAUAAAGUAUUUUGUCCCAGCCGGAAUGUGUGCAGGACAGCUUAAUAUGCUGCUGAUGCUUGGAGAUGGCUUGGCCCUGGACACAUGUGGUGGAACGGAAGAUGAAGGAAGGGAGCUGAGAGGAGUCAAAGGCAGACUUGGGUGAUAAAGGAUGUGGAGAAUCUGAAGCUGACUGCUUGCCCACCUGGAGUGCAUCAAAGUUGCCACUGCUGGCCUGGCAGCUGCACCCUGGGAUAUCGGACACCCCGGAGAUGACGAGUCUGAUGAAUCUGUGGGCUCCCUGCCCUGUGGCCUUGGUCAGAUCCAUCCUAGUGGGAAACAAGUGUGUCUGACUGACCCAGACCAAACACACUUCAAACUUACACUCACACACACACACAAACGCACACUUCCUGUGGCCUCUACUGCCCACCGCAUCAUUAAUACCAAUUGGCCUUUCUUUAUGGCUGCAAAUAUUUUUCACAUGUUCUUGGAUCACCUUGGGUCUUUCUAGCCACAAUAAAAGCUCUCCUUUCUUUGUAGUCCUAAUAGCAAAAAGGGACAUUUGUUAACAUGAUUUGUGAGAUUUUGAAGCCAUAUAGCGGAUUUCUGUUUCAGGGUGUGUAAGCACUUGUUUAUUGUACCUGUGUAGACAAACCUUAUUGAAACCAAAGUCUGACCCUUAAGUUCGGGCCCCCAUUUUUAAUGUGAGUAAUAAUAGUGUAUAUUAUUUACAUUUGUUGAUACUAAGGUUUGAGUGCAGUACUGUAUUUACAUGGAAAAUAUAUGUGUGUAUUUCUCUACUAGAGUCUACUUUUACAACUAAUUAUGGAGCCGUUUAAGGUUAGCAAUAUGUCGGUAACAGUUAGGGGAAAGGCAGAAACACAGUUACUUAAUUAAACAUCAGUUUUUGUAAACACCUGAUAUGGGUAGAAUGGCUUUUGAAGACGGAGGAGGGGCAGCUCCACUUCUGCAAUGUCUGUUUGAUGAUUCCUUUAUUGUGUCUACAACACAGCUAGUGGCGGGUCUUUAAAAUCCAAUAAGCCAGACACACAUAGGCUCAUUGUCAAAAAGGCAGGACAUGGAGGUGUUUACACUUGACAUAUUAAUAAGUUGAACUGUGGGGAUAUCUGUAGACAAAUCUCCAUUUGGUUCAUUUAACAAUUACAAACACUUUGGAUGGAAAUGAAGAGAAAGAGCCAAACUGACCUGCAUCCAACAAGUGUUGGCUGCCCGGGGGUCUAUACUCAGAACUCUGAUUAGCAUGAUAAGAAGGAAGAAACACAUCCAAACAUUGUUUACCUUUGAAACAACACCGUCAUUCUUGGUGCUUUCAUUUGAGCUAUACUGUAUAAAUACUUCUCAGAAAAAGCUGAGAGAAAACAACAAUAACUCAGUGACAGAUACGUAGAAAACUCAGUGUGGUGGAUUCUGUGUUUUACAGGUCAGACAGUCUUUAUCCUCAUUUCUUCCCUUAGCUCCUGCUUUCUACUGCUUUGUUUUCAUGUCACAGUUUCUCAGAAAGUGGGAAGCCCUGAUGCCAAUGUGCUGUGUUUUCUUUUCACUCAGCAUAUUAUACAUGGCUUCACUCUACCCUGAUGCUGGUAUCAGCUUUGUGCAAGUAAGUUUUGCCUUUGUCUGCAUCUGGACGAGCACAAUUGCUAAAGGUACCACUUGUACGUGCAUAAGAGCCAACCUUUUGCCAAGAAACAAACCAUGUUCAGUUUAUCAGAUCAGAGUUUGCCAGUACUUUGAGUCCACUCCCUUCCUCAUAAUUCAUCAUAUCUAAACAAAGACAAAACAGUCCUAGAUUUUAAUUAUAUGUUUGGCACCUUUACGACUGCAGUUAAGUUUGCAAACCGUCAUGAGAUGUGUUAUGUGUGAGAGUCAGGCCCUAUAUGUUAGAAGCAGAACAUAUUUUCAUGAUCAAAUCAAUCCAUGUUUUUUUUAAUCCAUGUUUAUUGAUAGAAAAGGUAUAUUAAAUAUGUAUGGAUAUUUUGAAGUGUUGUUCCUCAAAGUAAGAAAAAAAAGUAAGAAAUUCAGUCUAAACAGAUGCUCCAUGCUACAUAUCCACAUAGCUAACCACAGUCUGACAAAUCGCUGUGCAGAUAGAACCUGAACUGAAGCUUUUGUCAUAGCAGUGGGAAAAAAAAUGAAAAAAAUUGUUGGAUCCCCCUUUCAUACCAGUUAUAAUAAAAGGCUAUCCAGAUUAAACAUUUUUCUUGUCAUAGAAUAAAACAUUAUUUUACCUGUCAGGCUUCAGUGUUUGGUGGUUUCCUCACAAAGUCCACAUGGGCUUCAUUUUUAUGCUCUUUAAACUAGUUUCUCACAAAUGCCACUUUACGGUAACUAGGCCACAGUCAGCUAGAUUACAGGUCUUAUGUGCUGAAGGAUCUGACUUUGGUCAUUGUUUGUUCUGUUUCUCUCCUAGAGAUUGCUAUUGGCCAGAGGUUACACAAUUUUGAUAUAUUUACUCAAGUAAAAGUAAUAAGUAGCCAUCGAAGGAAUUACUCAAGUAAAACAAAACAAAAAUACCAGGUAUAAAGACUGAUUGAUUUGACUCAAUUUAAAAAAUAUAUCAUCAGGCAGAAAAGUGUCAUAACGUUCUAUUCAAAUUCAAGAAACAAAUAUAUAUGACAUAACUGCACUCCCACCCCAACAAAUACAAAGAAGUACUUCUCGAAAGCAAUUUCUUAAUAUAAAGCAAUUUCCUCAAAUAAAAAGAAAGAACCGAACCCCAAAGCUUUCGUCAAAACUAGAAUAUCACUUUUAACAAAAACUUAUUUCUGUUUUUUGUGCAUUUUUGGUUUAAAAGGAGGUUCUUCUUCAUUCAGUAAAGUAACUCAGUUGAUAGAGCAGCAUGAAAAUUUACUCAAGGCUAUUAAUCUCAUAUAAUAAUACUGCUCAAGUAAAAGUAAAAAAAUACAGUGCUCUAAAACUACUGUACUCUUAAAGGUAAAUUAAAUUAAAUUCAAAUUAAAAAAGCUACUCGGGUAAUAAAUGAGAAAUGGCCUCUAUUUGCAAAGAGGUUUUUCAAAUUUAGAAGCUUGAACAAAGCGCUUUACACUACAUUUGGUCAUUUGCUCGCACACUGAUGGUGGCGAGCUACAUUGUAGCCACAGCUGCCAAGGGCUCACUGACAGAACGAGGCAGGCGCCUCCUCUGGCCACCAUCUGUAGGUAAUUUGGGUAAAGUGUCUUGCCCAAAGACAACACAACACUGAAAGCCGGGCCUUGAACCGACAACUCCGCCGCUGAAGGGAAAACUCCUGCAUCUGACACCACUGCCACCUCAGAAGAAAAUAUAAAUGGCUACUAUCCAGGUCUACCGGUACUAUUCACUUGUUUCAAUUGCGACUCCCACUGGCCAAAAGUUAAAUUCUGCAUGUGUCACUGGUGUUUCGGCAAUAAAAACACUUACA
This is a long non-coding RNA of Cyprinodon tularosa, 3828 nucleotides long. RefSeq lists it as uncharacterized. The record is from RefSeq and is a predicted model, not a curated record. NCBI's taxonomy places the organism in Eukaryota, Metazoa, Chordata, Actinopteri, Cyprinodontiformes, Cyprinodontidae. The transcript is spliced from 3 exons.